UGCCCUACUCUUCUUCUCCUAGACUGCUCGAGCGCUUCAGCGGGUGCCUUGCCGACGACGGGGAAGGAAGGACCAGAGUAAGUAUAAUAUGGAAGUUCCUGUUCAAAUUAGUAGAAUAUGCUUACCAGGGGUUAGAAUUUAUAGAUAUAUACCAAUUUGUCACUACAGAUUACAUAUAAUAUGAAAGUUCUUGUCAGUUUUCUUUGUAGUUAGUUUGCGACAAUCACAACAUGAUCAUUUGAAUAUUUUGUUGUAACAAAUCUAUUAUAGCUAUUGUUGUGAAAGAAAAAUCCUUAAAAAAUCACCCAAUAGCAACCCGAGGAAGUUAAGAGACAUAAAUGAUCCAGAUAUGGUUCCAUUAUGCUCCCUCUGUUCGAUAAUAUAUGACGUUUUCUGGCAGUACACAAUGCCAAAAACGUCUUAUAUUAUGGGACAGAAGCGAGUUUGUGAUUCUUUUGGUUAUUCUUGAUUCCACAUGCUUCAUUUGGGUGAAUAAUCCAUUGGCAUCCAAAUUUGGAGAUUAAUUCACCUAUGUAAUGUGCAUAAUCAAUGACACAUUUUUGCUAUGAUGAAUAUGUAAAUAAAUUUUGUACAAUUCCAUAAAUACACAGUUAAGCAUUUUUGUUGUAAAGAUAAUGUAGAUAAUUUUUUAUAGCUUUGCAAAUAAGAUUAACCUUGGUGUAUAAAUCCGAUCAGAGUAGAGGUAGCUAUGCAAUGGUCUUGCGUCACAUCAUUAGUCCAAGGCUCUAACCACAUUCAUGGAGAAUCUAACAUCCCAACUACGCAUAUCUGUUUGUUCCAGAAGCCACGAAAUUGAGGUACGCAGAAGAUGAACAAACCUGAGAAGUGAUGAUCGAAUGAAGAGUCGGAGCUCGAGCAUCACAUAGUCGUCAGCUAUGGUGGCUUGUGGGCGGAUGUUUCUCAGACCUAAGUUGUUGCCGCUGGACCGUGGUUACAUUCAUCCUAGCUUGGAGGAAACGGUGUGGGUGGGUAUGCAUGUGCAGGGCGAAGAAGUGGACGAAGGCCGAAGAAGCAAUCUCUGCCUCCCUAUCGCUGCGUCCUGCUCCUCAAUAUGUCACCUUAGUCAUGGCCGCCUUAUCCCUCAUGCUGCUGAUUUGAAUCUGCCCUACUCUUCUUCUCCUAGACUGCUCGAGCGCUUCAGCGGGUGCCUUGCCGACGACAGGGAAGGAAGGACCAGAGUAAGUAUAAUAUGGAAGUUCCUGUUCAAAUUAGUAGAAUAUGCUUACCAGGGGUUAGAAUUUAUAGAUAUAUACCACAAUUUUCACUACAGAUUAUAUAUAAUGUGAAACUUCUUGUCAGUUUUCUUUGUAGUUAGUUUGCGACAAUCACAACAUGAUCAUUUGAAUAUUUUGUUGUAACAAAUCUAUUAUAGCUAUUGUUGUGAAAGAAAAAUCCUUAAAAAAUCACCCAAUAGCAACCCGAGGAAGUUAAGAGACAUAAAUGAUCCAGAUAUGGUUCCAUUAUGCUCCCUCUGUUCGAUAAUAUAUGACGUUUUCUGGCAGUACACAAUGCCAAAAACGUCUUAUAUUAUGGGACAGAAGCGAGUUUGUGAUUCUUUUGGUUAUUCUUGAUUCCACAUGCUUCAUUUGGGUGAAUAAUCCAUUGGCAUCCAAAUUUGGAGAUUAAUUCACCUAUGUAAUGUGCAUAAUCAAUGACACAUUUUUGCUAUGAUGAAUAUGUAAAUAAAUUUUGUACAAUUCCAUAAAUACACAGUUAAGCAUUUUUGUUGUAAAGAUAAUGUAGAUAAUUUUUUAUAGCUUUGCAAAUAAGAUUAACCUUGGUGUAUAAAUCCGAUCAGAGUAGAGGUAGCUAUGCAAUGGUCUUGCGUCACAUCAUUAGUCUAAGGCUCUAACCACAUUCAUGGAGAAUCUAACAUCCCAACUACGCAUAUCUGUUUGUUCCAGAAGCCACGAAAUUGAGGUACGCAGAAGAUGAACAAACCUGAGAAUUGAUGAUCGAAUGAAGAGUCGGAGCUCGAGCAUCACAUAGUCGUCAGCUAUGGUGGCUUGUGGGCGGAUGUUUCUCAGACCUAAGUUGUUGCCGCUGGACCGUGGUUACAUUCAUCCUAGCUUGGAGGAAACGGUGUGGGUGGGUAUGCAUGUGCAGGGCGAAGAAGUGGACGAAGGCCGAAGAAGCAAUCUCUGCCUCCCUAUUGCUGCGUCCUGCUCCUCAAUAUGUCACCUUAGUCAUGGCCGCCUUAUCCCUCAUGCUGCUGAUUUGAAUCUGCCCUACUCU
Molecule: long non-coding RNA, 2256 nt
Filed under: Triticum aestivum (bread wheat)
Lineage: Eukaryota; Viridiplantae; Streptophyta; Magnoliopsida; Poales; Poaceae
Description: long non-coding RNA (TAES_LNC014747)
Source: RNAcentral